UACGUAGGGUGCAAGCGUUAAUCGGAAUUACUGGGCGUAAAGCGCACGUAGGCGGCUUUCUAAGUCAGGGGUGAAAUCCUGGAGCUCAACUCCAGAACUGCCUUUGAUACUGGAGAGCUUGAGUCCGGGAGAGGUGAGUGGAACUCCGAGUGUAGAGGUGAAAUUCGUAGAUAUUCGGAAGAACACCAGUGGCGAAGGCGGCUCACUGGCCCGGUACUGACGCUGAGGUGCGAAAGCGUGGGGAGCAAACAGG
RNAcentral lists this ribosomal RNA (253 nucleotides) under uncultured bacterium. RNAcentral's name for it is "partial 16S ribosomal RNA". It matches the Rfam family "Bacterial small subunit ribosomal RNA", at positions 524 to 776 of the family's 1533-position model. The record is from RNAcentral.